CCCUUAGAUGUCCUGGGCCGCACGCGCGCUACACUGAGUGUCUGAGAUACGAGUCUGCCUGGUCCGGCAAGGUCUAGGUAAUCGCUAAAAGACACCUCAUGCUUGGGAUAGAUUAUUGCAAAUAUUAAUCUUGAACGAGGAAUUCCUAGUAAGCGCAAGUCAACAGCUUGCGUUGAUUACGUCCCUGCCCUUUGUACACACCGCCCGUCGCUACUACUGAUUGGAUGUUUAAGCGAGGUUCUCGAACUGCUAGCGACUUAGCUUCGGUGAGGUCGCAGUGUGGGAAGUGAACCGAGCUUUGGUGUCUAGAGGAAGUAAAAGUCGUAACA
This 329-nucleotide ribosomal RNA is filed under the name uncultured eukaryote. Its description in RNAcentral is "partial 18S ribosomal RNA". It matches the Rfam family "Eukaryotic small subunit ribosomal RNA", at positions 1470 to 1796 of the family's 1831-position model. The record is from RNAcentral.